CCUACGGGAGGCAGCAGUGAGGAAUAUUGGUCAAUGGACGAGCGUCUGAACCAGCCAAGUAGCGUGAAGGAUGACUGCCCUAUGGGUUGUAACCUUCUUUUAUAUGGGAAUACAAUGUUCACCGUGGGGGAUUCUGUAUGUACCAUAUGCAUAAGAAUCGGCUAACUCCGGGCCUGCAGCCGCGGUAAUACGGAGUAUCCGAGCGUUAUCCGGAUUUAUUGUGGUUAUAGGGAGCUUAGGUGGAUUGUUAAGUCAGUUGUGAAAGUUCGCGGCUCAACCGUAAAAUUGCAGUUGAAACUGGCAGUCUUGAGGACAGUAGAGGUGGGCGGAAUUCGUGGUGUAGCGGUGAAAUGCUUAGAUAGCACGAAGAACUCCGAUUGCGAAGGCAGCUCACUGGACUGCAACUGACACUGAGGCUCGAAAGUGUGGGUAUCAAACAGGAUUAGAUACCCGGGUAGUC
RNAcentral lists this ribosomal RNA (460 nucleotides) under uncultured bacterium. RNAcentral's name for it is "partial 16S ribosomal RNA". It matches the Rfam family "Bacterial small subunit ribosomal RNA", at positions 338 to 795 of the family's 1533-position model. The record is from RNAcentral.